GUGGUUAGUCCGCAACGAGCGCAACCCACGUUUAGUUGCUAACGCGUGAAGGCGAGCACUCUAGACGAACUGCCGUUGACAAAACGGAGGAAGGUGGGGAUGACGUCAAAUCAUCAUGCCCCUUAUGUUCUGGGCUACACACGUGCUACAAUGGCCGGUACAGACGGACGCAAAGCCGCGAGGUGGAGCAAAUCCGAAAAAGCCGGUCUCAGUUCGGAUUGCAGGCUGCAAUUCGCCUGCAUGAAGUCGGAAUCGCUAGUAAUCGCAGGUCAGCAUACUGCGGUGAAUACGUUCCCGGGCCUU
RNAcentral lists this ribosomal RNA (303 nucleotides) under uncultured Pelotomaculum sp. RNAcentral describes it as "bacterial SSU rRNA". It matches the Rfam family "Bacterial small subunit ribosomal RNA", at positions 1074 to 1382 of the family's 1533-position model. The record is from RNAcentral. Lineage: Bacteria; Bacillati; Bacillota; Clostridia; Eubacteriales; Desulfotomaculaceae.